This is a long non-coding RNA of Salvia miltiorrhiza (redroot sage), 532 nucleotides long. RefSeq lists it as uncharacterized. The transcript is spliced from 3 exons. NCBI's taxonomy places the organism in Eukaryota, Viridiplantae, Streptophyta, Magnoliopsida, Lamiales, Lamiaceae. The record is from RefSeq and is a predicted model, not a curated record.
UUCCGGAAGGGGUAAAUUAGAAUUUACCAAUGAAUGUAAAUCGGUAAGUUUCAAUUAUUUCCGAAAAUCACUCCUCCACCUUCUCUUCGAAAAAUAUUGUGGAAACUAGGGUUUUGGGAUACCGAAUAGCAACAUCCAUUUCGCUGUCACACGAAAUCACCAGAUUAUCGAAGAAGGUUGAAGAACAUUAUCGAAGAAGGUAGAAAAACAUCGGGGUUUUUGCAGAAUCAUCGGUGUUUCGUUCGAAAGGAGAUAGGUGCAGAUGCCGUAGCUAGUGCUCCGGAAACGAACUGAAGGACGACGUUCUGAGCAAAGCUUCAAAGACUUAUGAAGAAAUGUCCAUGGAUCCAAAUUUAAAGUAAAUUUAAUUUUGCUUGGGUGACUUCCGUGAUGAUGUAUCGUACUUCUUAAGGAUUUAUUCGUUCUAAUUUUUUGGGUGAUAUUGUUUGGACGGAUGCAGCAAUUUAGGUAUUUUAUGGAUUACCAUUGCAGAUAAUUGUGAGGAAUUAAGUUUUGAUGUUAUAAAUUUUGU